Molecule: ribosomal RNA, 465 nt
Filed under: Vreelandella stevensii
Lineage: Bacteria; Pseudomonadati; Pseudomonadota; Gammaproteobacteria; Oceanospirillales; Halomonadaceae
Description: partial 16S ribosomal RNA
Rfam family: Bacterial small subunit ribosomal RNA
Source: RNAcentral
CCUACGGGGGGCAGCAGUGGGGAAUAUUGGACAAUGGGGGGAACCCUGAUCCAGCCAUGCCGCGUGUGUGAAGAAGGCCCUCGGGUUGUAAAGCACUUUCAGUGAGGAAGAACGCCUGGUGGUUAAUACCCAUCAGGAAAGACAUCACUCACAGAAGAAGCACCGGCUAACUCCGUGCCAGCAGCCGCGGUAAUACGGAGGGUGCGAGCGUUAAUCGGAAUUACUGGGCGUAAAGCGCGCGUAGGUGGUUUGAUAAGCCGGUUGUGAAAGCCCCGGGCUCAACCUGGGAACGGCAUCCGGAACUGUCAAGCUAGAGUGCAGGAGAGGAAGGUAGAAUUCCCGGUGUAGCGGUGAAAUGCGUAGAGAUCGGGAGGAAUACCAGUGGCGAAGGCGGCCUUCUGGACUGACACUGACACUGAGGUGCGAAAGCGUGGGUAGCAAACAGGAUUAGAUACCCCUGUAGUC